This is a long non-coding RNA of Gasterosteus aculeatus aculeatus (three-spined stickleback), 1249 nucleotides long. The record is from Ensembl. Lineage: Eukaryota; Metazoa; Chordata; Actinopteri; Perciformes; Gasterosteidae.
AAUCAAUCCCUUGUUAAAUCCUUUUUUAAGUUAAUCUGCACAUCCCCGAGCUUCAUAUUGUUAUAUUAGUAUUCCUCUAUCUCAAAAAACAUUUCCUCCCUUUACAGACAGAUUAAAGCCGCCCUGUGCUUCCAUUCUGUGGGGAUAUUGUGUGUCUCCGGACUCCCCAAUGAGCGGGAGCAGAUUGCUGAUUCGGCAUGCCCUCUACAGGCCAACAGUGGAACUCAGCGUCUCUCGAGAAAGACGACAACUGUCCUCCAACAUCAUCUUAUCACAAACGAAUACACUGCUGCGAGUGGACUCGUGGGAAAAGCUGUCAGCCGCAGAGACAUAGAGUCCCACUGUGAAGUCAGGACCACAGCAGACAUGAAGCUGUCCACAGCAUGCCGUCAAGACCCCACUCUUUGUCCUCUGGAUCCGUCCCUCUUCUGCCCAACCGGGAGAGACACGACUCCAUUCUACUGCAGUUCCAUUCACGCCCACUGACACAAUUAAUCAUAAACUAGUUCAAUCAUACAAAGUAUUCUCAUGAGAAGACGGUGCACAUUUGACGUCAAAUAUAAUCAUCACUGGUGUCCUCCGAGCCAACGUUAUUGGUCACUUGGCUGGUGACCCUGUUGAUCUCUGUGGGGGCCCUGGGAGUCUAUGCAGACCCCACUUGAAAAAAAAGCCGACUUUACCCUUAAGAAACACAAUUGCACGGCCGCAAACAAAACCAUUACAGGAUCCUAUCCCCAAAAACUCUUUUAAUUAAGCAAAGACAGUCGGCGCGACGACAGGACGCUUCUGUGUAAAACUGCGUGACAUUUGGUGGAGGAAAUCAUUUUCAUGGGGCAUUGUUGUCGGCGCUCGUGUGCUUGUUUGCCUGGGUGUUUGUGUGUGUGUGUGUGUGUUUGCCUGUGCAGGGCCGGGUGUGUAUUUGUCUAGCCUUUGAAGGCUCUGCCUUCCCCAGUGUGUCUUUAUUGUGGGGCAGCUGAGGCCCAGCCUGUAGCUCUGUCCAGCACCGGGGCCCAGACACCAGCUGCAUUCACCGUCACAGGCCCUCCGUCGCCUUUUGAUGUCCGCGCUGCUGCCCGGCACCCGGACCACACCAGAGACGCCGCGUAUCCACCAGCCAUCUUGAGUUCAAAAAAGAAAAAAGGAGGAGAGACAGAAACAACUCACUCCUAGUUCUGUGUUUUUUUAUUAUCUAACGGGAGAGGAGAAUUUGUUUGAUAUCUGUGGACAAAAAACAAGCUGUUGGGGUCUG